This 39-nucleotide ribosomal RNA is filed under the name ascomycete sp. CH-Co24. RNAcentral's name for it is "partial 28S ribosomal RNA". The record is from RNAcentral. Lineage: Eukaryota; Fungi; Ascomycota.
GACCUCGGAUCAGGUAGGAAUACCCGCUGAACUUAAGCA